UGACGUAGAAAAAGAAGCAAGGUCCGU
Molecule: small RNA, 27 nt
Filed under: Bombyx mori (domestic silkworm)
Lineage: Eukaryota; Metazoa; Arthropoda; Insecta; Lepidoptera; Bombycidae
Description: piRNA piR-bmo-2040794
Source: RNAcentral